RNAcentral lists this ribosomal RNA (849 nucleotides) under Alternaria mouchaccae. Its description in RNAcentral is "eukaryotic LSU rRNA". It matches the Rfam family "Eukaryotic large subunit ribosomal RNA", at positions 68 to 935 of the family's 3401-position model. Lineage: Eukaryota; Fungi; Ascomycota; Dothideomycetes; Pleosporales; Pleosporaceae. RNAcentral also lists the same sequence under 4 other names. The record is from RNAcentral.
ACAGGGAUUGCCCUAGUAACGGCGAGUGAAGCGGCAACAGCUCAAAUUUGAAAUCUGGCUCUUUUAGAGUCCGAGUUGUAAUUUGCAGAGGGCGCUUUGGCUUUGGCAGCGGUCCAAGUUCCUUGGAACAGGACGUCACAGAGGGUGAGAAUCCCGUACGUGGUCGCUGGCUAUUGCCGUGUAAAGCCCCUUCGACGAGUCGAGUUGUUUGGGAAUGCAGCUCUAAAUGGGAGGUACAUUUCUUCUAAAGCUAAAUAUUGGCCAGAGACCGAUAGCGCACAAGUAGAGUGAUCGAAAGAUGAAAAGCACUUUGGAAAGAGAGUCAAACAGCACGUGAAAUUGUUGAAAGGGAAGCGCUUGCAGCCAGACUUGCUUGCAGUUGCUCAUCCGGGCUUUUGCCCGGUGCACUCUUCUGUAGGCAGGCCAGCAUCAGUUUGGGCGGUAGGAUAAAGGUCUCUGUCACGUACCUCUCUUCGGGGAGGCCUUAUAGGGGAGGCGACAUACUACCAGCCUGGACUGAGGUCCGCGCAUCUGCUAGGAUGCUGGCGUAAUGGCUGUAAGCGGCCCGUCUUGAAACACGGACCAAGGAGUCUAACAUCUAUGCGAGUGUUUGGGUGUCAAGCCCGAGCGCGUAAUGAAAGUGAACGGAGGUAGGACCCCGCAAGGGUGCACUAUCGACCGAUCCUGAUGUCUUCGGAAGGAUUUGAGUAAGAGCAUGGCUGUUGGGACCCGAAAGAUGGUGAACUAUGCUUGAAUAGGGUGAAGCCAGAGGAAACUCUGGUGGAGGCUCGCAGCGGUUCUGACGUGCAAAUCGAUCGUCAAAUUUGGGCAUAGGGGCGAAAGACUAAU